Molecule: long non-coding RNA, 1008 nt
Organism: Lotus japonicus
Lineage: Eukaryota; Viridiplantae; Streptophyta; Magnoliopsida; Fabales; Fabaceae
Exons: 3
Source: RefSeq, a predicted model, not a curated record
CAAUGGGUACUUCAAUCCAAUACAAAAGGUUCAUUUGUAUUGAGUGUCUAAAUCUCCAUACUGGAGUUCUUUUUCUGCAAAGUCAAAAAAUGGACAGCAGUAGUGCAAAGGAAAGCUGUAUUUUGCGUAUGGCUGCUAUAAGAGCUAAAAGAUCAGCUCCAAUGGUCGUUGAGCAUACACUGCCUAUUAUUCAUAAUUCCACAGCCCCAAUAUUGGAUCAAUCUGCUAUAAUUGAUGAGAAUCAUCCUGCUCCAAGGCAUACAAAGAAGUUAAAGACCAGUCGUUUUGAGUCACAAGUUCAAGACCUCCCAACUACAUUGACUUCUAAUGGAAGAACUCCAUUAUUUCAUUUGCAGCAACGUGCUAUCUUUUUCACUUAUAAUUUUUAAAUAUUAGAUUAGAUAAUACUUAUUCAUUCUACCAAUAUUUAAUUUUGAAUUUUUUUGUUGGACAUGCAAGCUCAAGCUUGGGAUAUGUAUCUUCUCCUCAAGCGGCGAAAGAAUCAUUGGAGCUCUAUAUACUUUUCAGAUGAGUCAUUAAUCACAUGUGGUGGCUUCUUCAUCAACAUGACUCUUUACGGUUUACACUACUCAUUGACUCAUUGACCACAUUUUAUCACAUAUGGUGACUUCCCCCCAAAGAGCUUUUUUCAAAAAAAAAAGUUUCGGAGGUUGAGUAUGUAGGCAUUGGUGGUGGCUAUUGCCCAGACAAUUUUUCCCAACAUUCUUUGGCGAAACUCUAUUUUCUGGUUGUAUCAAGAGAUCAUAUGGAGCCAUGUUUCUAGAUGAAUAUUGUAGAUUAGAGAAUCCAUUUUAGUUUGAGGUUUAAACGUGACUUUUUUCCGAACUACCCUAUGUUUUAAAUGUAUUAAACUAUGUACAUAAAGAGAGUCAGAAAGAAGGCACAAGGAGGUAUAGCUCUGAAUAAAUGUCCACUUAUCUUGGUUUUCUGCUAUAUUAUUGAAUAAUUAUAAUAAAGGUGUUACAAUUAUGAUGCCAAGAGGGUAUA